This 324-nucleotide ribosomal RNA is filed under the name uncultured bacterium. RNAcentral describes it as "bacterial SSU rRNA". It matches the Rfam family "Bacterial small subunit ribosomal RNA", at positions 32 to 348 of the family's 1533-position model. The record is from RNAcentral.
AAUCAACGCUGGCGGCGUGCCUCAGACAUGCAAGUCGAACGAUUAAAGCUCUCUUCGGAGAGUGUAUAGAGUGGCGCACGGGUGAGUAACACGUAAGUAAUCUACCUUCGAGUGGGGAAUACCGUCCGGAAACGGACGCUAAUACCGCAUAAUGCAGCGGCAUCGUAAGAUGACAGUUGUUAAAGAUUUUAUCGCUUGAAGAGGAGCUUGCGGCAGAUAGCUAGUUGGUAAGGUAAUGGCUUACCAAGGCUACGAUCUGUAACCGGUCUUAGAGGACGGUCGGUCACACUGACACUGAAUAACGGGUCAGACUCCUACGGGAGG